GAUCAUGGCUCAGGACGAACGCUGGCGGCGUGCCUAACACAUGCAAGUCGAACGGAAAAUUGAGCUUCGGUUCAAUUUUUAGUUGGCGAACGGGUGAGUAACGCGUAGGCAACCUGCCCUUUAGACGGGGACAACAUUCCGAAAGGGAUGCUAAUACCGGAUGUGACGCUCCUAUCGCAUGAGGGGAGCGUGAAAGAUGGCCUCUACAUGUAAGCUAUCGCUAAAGGAUGGGCCUGCGU
Molecule: ribosomal RNA, 239 nt
Filed under: uncultured bacterium
Lineage: Bacteria
Description: partial 16S ribosomal RNA
Rfam family: Bacterial small subunit ribosomal RNA
Source: RNAcentral